This 460-nucleotide ribosomal RNA is filed under the name uncultured bacterium. RNAcentral's name for it is "partial 16S ribosomal RNA". It matches the Rfam family "Bacterial small subunit ribosomal RNA", at positions 338 to 795 of the family's 1533-position model. The record is from RNAcentral.
CCUACGGGAGGCUGCAGUGAGGAAUAUUGGUCAAUGGACGAGAGUCUGAACCAGCCAAGUAGCGUGAAGGAUGACUGCCCUAUGGGUUGUAAACUUCUUUUAUAUGGGAAUAAAAUGUUCCACGUGUGGGAUUUUGUAUGUACCAUAUGAAUAAGGAUCGGGUAACUCCGUGCCAGCAGCCGCGGUAAUACGGAGGAUCCGAGCGUUAUCCGGCUUUAUUGGGUUUAAAGGGAGCGUAGGUGGUUUGUUAAGUCAGUUGUGAAAGUUUGCGGCUCAACCGUAAAAUUGCAGUUGAAACUGGCAGUCUUGAGUACAGUAGAGGUGGGCGGAAUUCGAGGUGUAGCGGUGAAAUGCGUAGAUAUCACGAAGAACUCCGAUUGCGAAGGCAGUUCACUGGACUGCAACUGACACUGAGGCUCGAAAGUGUGGGUAUCAAACAGGAUUAGAUACCCGUGUAGUC